Molecule: ribosomal RNA, 497 nt
Filed under: uncultured bacterium
Lineage: Bacteria
Description: partial 16S ribosomal RNA
Rfam family: Bacterial small subunit ribosomal RNA
Source: RNAcentral
GACGAACGCUGGCGGCGUGCCUAAUACAUGCAAGUAGAACGCUGAAGCGAGGAGCUUGCUCUUCUUGGAUGAGUUGCGAACGGGUGAGUAACGCGUAGGUAACCUGCCUUGUAGCGGGGGAUAACUAUUGGAAACGAUAGCUAAUACCGCAUAACAAUGGAUGACACAUGUCAUUUAUUUGAAAGGGGCAAUUGCUCCACUACAAGAUGGACCUGCGUUGUAUUAGCUAGUAGGUGAGGUAAUGGCUCACCUAGGCGGCGAUACAUAGCCGACCUGAGAGGGUGAUCGGCCACACUGGGACUGAGACACGGCCCAGACUCCUACGGGAGGCAGCAGUAGGGAAUCUUCGGCAAUGGGGGCAACCCUGACCGAGCAACGCCGCGUGAGUGAAGAAGGUUUUCGGAUCGUAAAGCUCUGUUGUAAGUCAAGAACGGGUGUGAGAGUGGAAAGUUCACACUGUGACGGUAGCUUACCAGAAAGGGACGGCUAACUACGUG